This 253-nucleotide ribosomal RNA is filed under the name uncultured bacterium. Its description in RNAcentral is "partial 16S ribosomal RNA". It matches the Rfam family "Bacterial small subunit ribosomal RNA", at positions 524 to 776 of the family's 1533-position model. The record is from RNAcentral.
UACGGAGGGUGCGAGCGUUGUUCGGAAUCAUUGGGCGUAAAGGGCGUGUAGGUGGUCUGUUAAGUCAUGUGUGAAAGCCCCCGGCUCAACCGGGGAAGUGCGCAUGAAACUGACAAGCUAGAGUACCAAAGAGGAGAGUGGAAUUCCUGGUGUAGCGGUGAAAUGCGCAGAUAUCAGGAAGAACACCCGUGGCGAAGGCGGCUCUCUGGGUCGGUACUGACGCUGAGACGCGAAAGCGUGGGGAGCGAACAGG